Molecule: ribosomal RNA, 495 nt
Filed under: uncultured bacterium
Lineage: Bacteria
Description: partial 16S ribosomal RNA
Rfam family: Bacterial small subunit ribosomal RNA
Source: RNAcentral
GAUGAACGCUGGCGGCGUGCCUAAUACAUGCAAGUCGAGCGAACAGACGAGGAGCUUGCUCCUCUGACGUUAGCGGCGGGCGGGUGAGUAACACGUGGAUAACCUACCUAUAAGACUGGGAUAACUUCGGGAAACCGGAGCUAAUACCGGAUAAUAUAUUGAACCGCAUGGUUCAAUAGUGAAAGACGGUUUUGCUGUCACUUAUAGAUGGAUCCGCGCCGCAUUAGCUAGUUGGUAAGGUAACGGCUUACCAAGGCGACGAUGCGUAGCCGACCUGAGAGGGUGAUCGGCCACACUGGAACUGAGACACGGUCCAGACUCCUACGGGAGGAAGAAGUAGGGAAUCUUCCGCAAUGGGCGAAAGCCUGACGGAGCAACGCCGCGUGAGUGAUGAAGGUCUUCGAAUCGUAAAACUCUGUUAUUAGGGAAGAAAAAAUGUGUAAGUAACUAUGCACGUCUGGACGGUACCUAAUCAGAAGGCCACGGCGAACUAAG